Long non-coding RNA from Chinchilla lanigera (long-tailed chinchilla), 483 nucleotides. RefSeq lists it as uncharacterized. NCBI's taxonomy places the organism in Eukaryota, Metazoa, Chordata, Mammalia, Rodentia, Chinchillidae. The transcript has 2 exons. The record is from RefSeq and is a predicted model, not a curated record.
CAGUGUCCACUCCCUUGAUGUCUGUAGUAUCACCCUUCUUGUACAUUCACAUGUAUGUGGUCAAAGAAACAACCAGUGUUUUCUAAAAGGCUUAGAGAACAUACAGAAGAUCCCCCUUCUCUUACAAAAAGCAACUGACAGCCCUCACAGCACUGUUUCACCAAUGAAGAAGAAUGAGUAGAAGGAGGAAACACCAGGAGCUUCUGACUACAUCUUACUGGUGAGAAAUGUGUUGCAAGUGUCCUUACCGCAAAACAGUCUGAGAGGAAAAACUUGGCUGCACAGUCUCUACAGUAGAACAAGGAAGACAAGAGGAGAGUUGGAAAUGUUUGUUGAGUAAGCCAACCUACAACAUCUGCCAGUUUUUCUUUUAGAGAUUUAAUUUCAGACCUCAUUUCAAGAUGGUUUCUCCCUCCGCUCAUUUUCAGUAGCUGCAAAUGUACAAGAAGGAAAUUUGCUGAAAAAUAAACUCAGAUAAAGAAA